UACAGAGGUCUCAAGCGUUGUUCGGAUUCAUUGGGCGUAAAGGGUGCGUAGGUGGCAUGGUAAGUCGGAUGUGAAAUCCCGGGGCUCAACCCCGGAACUGCAUUCGAUACUGCCCGACUAGAGGUAGGUAGGGGAGAUCGGAAUUCCUGGUGUAGCGGUGAAAUGCGCAGAUAUCAGGAGGAACACCGGUGGCGAAGGCGGGUCUCUGGGCCGAUACUGACGCUGAGGAGCGAAAGCGUGGGGAGCGAACAGG
RNAcentral lists this ribosomal RNA (253 nucleotides) under uncultured bacterium. RNAcentral's name for it is "partial 16S ribosomal RNA". It matches the Rfam family "Bacterial small subunit ribosomal RNA", at positions 524 to 776 of the family's 1533-position model. The record is from RNAcentral.